CAAGUAAAAUAGAACGGAACU
RNAcentral lists this non-coding RNA (21 nucleotides) under Caenorhabditis elegans. Lineage: Eukaryota; Metazoa; Nematoda; Chromadorea; Rhabditida; Rhabditidae. The record is from RNAcentral.